GCGAACGCUGGCGGCGUGCUUAACACAUGCAAGUCGCGCGCGAAAGAGGCUUUCGGGUCUUGAGUAGAGCGGCGCACGGGUGCGUAAGACGCGGGUGACCUAUCCACGAGGUGGGGAUAACCCUUCGAAAGAGGGGCUAAUACCGGAUGAGCCCACAGGCAGAGAUGCUAGGGGGGCAAAGGGUGCGAUUUACUAAGCGCAUCUCUUCGUGGCGGGGCCCACGGCCUAUCAGCUAGUUGGUGUGGUAACGGCACACCAAGGCGAAGACGGGUAGCUGGUCUGAGAGGAUGGCCAGCCACACGGGGACUGAGACACGGCCCCGACUCCUACGGGAGGCAGCAGUGGGGAAUAUUGGGCAAUGGGCGCAAGCCUGACCCAGCGACGCCGCGUGGGUGAUGAAGGCC
Molecule: ribosomal RNA, 404 nt
Filed under: uncultured bacterium
Lineage: Bacteria
Description: bacterial SSU rRNA
Rfam family: Bacterial small subunit ribosomal RNA
Source: RNAcentral